UACGGGGGGGGCAAGCGUUGUUCGGAAUUACUGGGCGUAAAGGGCUCGUAGGCGGCCAACUAAGUCGGACGUGAAAGCCCUCGGCUUAACCGAGGAACUGCGUCCGAUACUGGAUGGCUUGAGGUUGGGAGAGGGUAGUGGAAUUCCCGGUGUAGAGGUGAAAUGCGUAGAUAUCGGGAGGAACACCAGUGGCGAAGGCGACUACCUGGCCUUUUCUUGACGCUGAGGCGCGAAAGCUAGGGGAGCAAACGGG
Molecule: ribosomal RNA, 253 nt
Filed under: uncultured bacterium
Lineage: Bacteria
Description: partial 16S ribosomal RNA
Rfam family: Bacterial small subunit ribosomal RNA
Source: RNAcentral